Tachysurus fulvidraco (yellow catfish) is the source of this 291-nucleotide long non-coding RNA. RefSeq lists it as uncharacterized. Lineage: Eukaryota; Metazoa; Chordata; Actinopteri; Siluriformes; Bagridae. The record is from RefSeq and is a predicted model, not a curated record. The transcript has 3 exons.
UGAAGCUGCUCUCUGAUGGGCUGAAGGAUCCACACUGUACACUGGAGAUACUGAGGAUGCAGGACUGCAGUAUUACAGAUGAAGGUUGUGCUGCUCUGGCUUCAGCUCUGAGGUCAAACUCCUCAUCACACCUGGGAGAACUGAAUCUGUACCGUAAUAAACCAGGAGAAUCAGGAGUGAAGCUGCUCUGUGAUCUACUGAAGGAUCCACACUGUAAACUGGAGACACUACACAUUAAGAAUGAUAUACUCACCAGGUCUGGUGUAUGACAGGAGUCUCUCCUCAGACCUU